ACGAACGCUGGCGGCGUGCCUAACACAUGCAAGUCGAGCGGAGAUAUAUUGAAGGUUUACCGGAUAUAUAUCUUAGCGGCGGACGGGUGAGUAACGCGUGGGCAACCUGCCUUAUACAGGGGGAUAACACAGGGAAACUUGUGCUAAUACCGCAUAAUAUCAUUGUAUGGCAUCAUACGAUGAUCAAAGGAGCAAUCCGGUAUGAGAUGGGCCCGCGUCCGAUUAGCUAGUUGGUGGGGUAACAGCUCACCAAGGCGACGAUCGGUAGCCGAACUGAGAGGUUGAUCGGCCACAUUGGGACUGAGACACGGUCCAGACUCCUACGGGAGGCAGCAGUGGGGAAUAUUGCGCAAUGGGGGAAACCCUGACGCAGCAACGCCGCGUGAAAUGAAGACGUAUUUCGGUAUGUAAAGUUCUUUUAUUAAGGAAGAAUAUCACGGAUAGGAAAUGAUCUGUGAGUGACGGUACUUAAUGAAUAAGCCCCGGCUAACUAUGUGCCAGCCGCGGC
RNAcentral lists this ribosomal RNA (508 nucleotides) under uncultured bacterium. RNAcentral's name for it is "bacterial SSU rRNA". It matches the Rfam family "Bacterial small subunit ribosomal RNA", at positions 29 to 518 of the family's 1533-position model. The record is from RNAcentral.